RNAcentral lists this unclassified non-coding RNA (358 nucleotides) under soil metagenome. RNAcentral's name for it is "partial contains 5.8S ribosomal RNA, internal transcribed spacer 2, and large subunit ribosomal RNA". The stretch from base 1 to 120 matches the Rfam family "5.8S ribosomal RNA", at positions 35 to 154 of the family's 154-position model. The record is from RNAcentral.
GAUGAAGAACGUAGCGAAAUGCGAUAAGUAAUGUGAAUUGCAGAAUUCAGUGAAUCAUCGAAUCUUUGAACGCACAUUGCGCCCGCCAGUAUUCUGGCGGGCAUGCCUGUCCGAGCGCCAUUUCAACCCUCGAACCCCUCCGGGGGGUCGGCGUUGGGGACCUCGGGAGCCCCUAAGACGGGAUCCCGGCCCCGAAAUACAGUGGCGGUCUCGCCGCAGCCUCUCCUGCGCAGUAGUUUGCACAACUCGCACCGGGAGCGCGGCGCGUCCACGUCCGUAAAACACCCAACUUCUGAAAUGUUGACCUCGGAUCAGGUAGGAAUACCCGCUGAACUUAAGCAUAUCAAUAAGCGGAGGA